GCAGUCGUGGCCGAGUGGUUAAGGCGCUGGACUAGAAAUCCAUUGGGAUCUCCCCGCACAGGUUCGAAUCCUGUCGACUGCG
Molecule: transfer RNA, 82 nt
Filed under: Ixodes scapularis (black-legged tick)
Lineage: Eukaryota; Metazoa; Arthropoda; Arachnida; Ixodida; Ixodidae
Rfam family: tRNA
About the family: Transfer RNA (tRNA) molecules are approximately 80 nucleotides in length. Their secondary structure includes four short double-helical elements and three loops (D, anti-codon, and T loops).
Source: Rfam by way of RNAcentral